UACGUAGGGUGCAAGCGUUGUCCGGAAUUAUUGGGCGUAAAGAGCUCGUAGGCGGUUUGUUGCGUCGGCUGUGAAAUCCCGAGGCUCAACCUCGGGUCUGCAGUCGAUACGAGCAAACUAGAGUGUUGCAGGGGAGACUGGAAUUCCUGGUGUAGCGGUGAAAUGCGUAGAUAUCGGGAGGAACACCGGUGGCGAAGGCGGCCCCCUGGUUGGAUACUGACGCUGAGACGCGAAAGCGUGGGGAGCAAACAGG
This 253-nucleotide ribosomal RNA is filed under the name uncultured bacterium. RNAcentral describes it as "partial 16S ribosomal RNA". It matches the Rfam family "Bacterial small subunit ribosomal RNA", at positions 524 to 776 of the family's 1533-position model. The record is from RNAcentral.